This 500-nucleotide ribosomal RNA is filed under the name Bacillus sp. M12-C13. RNAcentral describes it as "bacterial SSU rRNA". It matches the Rfam family "Bacterial small subunit ribosomal RNA", at positions 1 to 489 of the family's 1533-position model. Lineage: Bacteria; Bacillati; Bacillota; Bacilli; Caryophanales; Bacillaceae. The record is from RNAcentral.
UGAGCUUGAUCCUGGCUCAGGACGAACGCUGGCGGCGUGCCUAAUACAUGCAAGUCGAGCGAAUCUGAUAAAAGCUUGCUUUUUGAAGAUUAGCGGCGGACGGGUGAGUAACACGUGGGCAACCUGCCUGUAAGACUGGGAUAACUUCGGGAAACCGGAGCUAAUACCGGAUAAUAUAAAGAACCUCCUGGUUCUUUAUUGAAAGAUGGUUUCGGCUAUCACUUACAGAUGGGCCCGCGGCGCAUUAGCUAGUUGGUGAGGUAACGGCUCACCAAGGCGACGAUGCGUAGCCGACCUGAGAGGGUGAUCGGCCACACUGGGACUGAGACACGGCCCAGACUCCUACGGGAGGCAGCAGUAGGGAAUCUUCCACAAUGGACGAAAGUCUGAUGGAGCAACGCCGCGUGAGCGAUGAAGGCCUUCGGGUCGUAAAGCUCUGUUGUUAGGGAAGAACAAGUACCGGAGUAACUGCCGGUACCUUGACGGUACCUAACCAGAAG